Molecule: long non-coding RNA, 461 nt
Filed under: Malus domestica (apple)
Lineage: Eukaryota; Viridiplantae; Streptophyta; Magnoliopsida; Rosales; Rosaceae
Description: long non-coding RNA (MDOM_LNC002457)
Source: RNAcentral
UUUACACAAGUACAUAGGUUCAAGCUCUCCUUUAGUGAGUACGAAGUGAAUGAUUUAGUACAAAUGACAUUAGGAAAUAUUGUGGGAGGAUGAUCUCGUAAUCACGAAACUUCUAAGUAUCGGAGUGUGGUGUCGUCUUGACUUGCCUUAUCUGUCUCAUAGGUAGAUGUGGCAUCUUCCCUGGAAGUACUCUUCCUCCAUCCAGGGGUGGUAUCUUUAACUGGUGGAGAUGCACAAGGUAAUGUAUCAAUUUCACUUGAAGCUUACUUGUAGUUUCAGGCUUGGUCAAGCGCGAUACAAACCAUGUAGUAGGAGUCCCCCAAGUCGCCGAGCUAGGGGGUCUGCUGAAAGAGUUGACAGACAAGGUAAGCAAUCAGAGCUCCGACUGAUUGUUCACCUUCUCCCCAUCUUGCAGCAGCAUGAAGGAUAAAGAGAAGAAAAAUGAGAAGAGAUGAUAUGAG